AGUUACGCCGUCGGGAGUACGCAGCCGCUUAGCGACUCUCGCGUUGCCCCCUGGGUGGGGCGGGUAGGUAGGUGGGGUGUAGAGAUGCUGGGUGUGCGGGCGCGGCCGGCCUCCUGCGGCGGGAGGGGAGGGUCAGUGAAAUCGGCUCUGGCGCGGGCGUCCUCCCACCCUCCCCUUCCUUCGGGGGAGUCGGUUUACCCGCCGCCUGCUUGUCUUCGACACCUGAUUGGCUGUCGAAGCUGUGGGACCGGGCCCUUGCUACUGGCUCGAGUCUCACAUGAGCGAAACCACUGCGCGGGGCGCGGGGGUGGCGGGGAGGCGGGCGUUGGUACGGUCCUCCCCGAGGCCGAGCGCCGCAGUGUCUGGCCCCGCGCCCCUGCGCAACGUGGCAGGAAGCGCGCGCUGGAGGCGGGGGCGGGCUGCCGGCCGAGACUUCUGGAUGGCGGCGGCCGCGGCUCCGCCCCGGGUUCCCACCGCCUGAAGGGCGAGACAAGCCCGACCUGCUACAGGCACUCGUGGGGGUGGGGGAGGAGCGGGGGUCGGUCCGGCUGGUUUGUGGGUGGGAGGCGCUUGUUCUCCAAAAACCGGCGCGAGCUGCAAUCCUGAGGGAGCUGCGGUGGAGGAGGUGGAGAGAAGGCCGCACCCUUCUGGGCAGGGGGAGGGGAGUGCCGCAAUACCUUUAUGGGAGUUCUCUGCUGCCUCCCGUCUUGUAAGGACCGCCCUGGGCCUGGAAGAAGCCCUCCCUCCUUUCCUCCUCGCGUGAUCUCGUCAUCGCCUCCAUGUCGAGUCGCUUCUCGAUUAUGGGCGGGAUUCUUUUGCCUAGGCUUAAGGGGCUAACUUGGUCCCUGGGCGUUGCCCUGCAGGGGAGUGAGCAGCUGUAAGAUUUGAGGGGCGACUCCGAUUAGUUUAUCUUCCCACGGACUAGAGUUGGUGUCGAGGUUAUUGUAAUAAGGGUGGGGUAGGGAAAUGGAGCUUAGUCAUUCACCUGGGGCUGAUUUUAUGCAACGAGACUGCGGAUUAUCACUACUUAUCAUUUUUGGAGCAUUUUUCUAGAGACAGACAUAAAGCAUGAUCACCUGAGUUUUAUACCAUUUGAGACCCUUGCUGCACCACCAAAGUGUAGCAUCAGGUUAAAUCUUAAUAGAAAAAUUUUAGCUUUUGCUUGAGAAACCAGUGCUUCCCUCCCUCACCCUCUCUCCCCAGGCUCUCUACCCCUUUGCAUCCCUACCAGGCAUCUUAGCAACUCUCACUCAUACUUGAUCCCAUUUUCCAUUUGUUGUACUUGCUCCUCUAGUAUUCAGACAUAGCACUAGCUUUCUCCCUCUCUUGAUCUUGGGUAGCCUGGUGUCUCGCGAAACCAGACAGAUUGGUUCCACCACAAAUUAAGGCUUGAGCUGGGGCUUGACUCUUACCCAGCAGUGCUUUUAUUCCUCCCUAGUUCACGUUCUUAAAUGUUUAUCUUGAUUUUCAUUUUAUCCUUUUUCCUUAGCUGGGAUUCUGUCCCUGACCGUCUUCACAGUCCAGGUGAUCUUGACUACUGCUUUACAGAGAAUUGGAUCUGAGGUUAGGCAACAUCUCCCUUUUUCUUCCUCUAAAUACCUCUCAUUUCUGUUCUUACCAGUUAGUAACUGAUCUCAGAUGCCUGUGUGAUAGCUUCCAAAUUGCUGUCUCUGUCUUUAGUGUUAUCUUUUGAUCCAUCUUACAUCUUGUUAGGAUGAUUGUCCUAAAGGAAGAUAGAGCAUGAAAAUGACAGGUGAAACUCCAUUACUGGCUUGUACUGUUUACAGCAAGUUGUCUAACCCGCGGGCCGCAUGGGACCCAGGACAGCUUUGAAUGCGACCCAACACAAAUUCGUAAACUUUCUUAAAGUUUUAGGAGUUUUUUUUGCGGGGUGUUUUUUUUGUUGUUGUUGUCUGUUUUUUUUUUUUGCUCAUCAGCUGUCCUUUAUAUGUGGCCCAAGACAGUUCUUGCAGUGUGGCCCAGGGAAGCCGAAAGAUUGGACACCCCUGGUUUACAGGAUGAAUUCUGUUCUCGUGAAUGUGAUGCAUAAGGUCCCUGGAUAGACUUUCCUCAAUUUAACAGCUUUUUCAUUUUUCACUAUUUUCCACAUACUACACACACAAAUAUGACCUCUCUCCUGAAGUCACAUGGAAUGAAUUGCAGUUACCCAAAUCAUAGAGACGUCAUAUAUCUUUGUGGGGUGGUUCUUUUUGGAAUGCUACCCUUGCUGCUUUUAAUCCUGCAGAUUCAAAUGUCAUCUCCCCUUUGGUCAUGCCUUCCAUGGUCUGUUGUUCUAUGACCCAAACUGCCCUUUUAAAAAAGCAGUUUUCUUCUGACUCCUGAGCAGUUUGUACUGCGUGGGUCAUAGUAAUUCUGGGGUUGUUGUCAUUGCUGAUUUAAAUUACCUUAACUAUUCUGAGCUUUUUGAAGGAAUAGUGUCUUGUACUCCUGAGCUCCUAGUAUACUCUGAUGUCUAGCCAACUUUAAGUAAAUGGAGUGAGCGACAUGUAAAUGUCUUUAUGGUUUGACAUUUUAUUAAUCUUGAGCAUUGGAAAAGUGGCUGGUAUGACUAAAGAACUGAAUUUUUAUUUUUUAUCUAAUUUGAAUUGCAACUGUGGACAGUAUAGCUGUAGCCCCGGACUUGUUCUGUGGAUUACAGAAUACGUGGACAUUGAUGGUUUUCUCUUUUUACUGAGCAGUAAGGAAAUAAAAGCUGAAGCUCUCUGGCCCAUUACAUUUCAUUUAACUGCUUGUUUUGUUUUAUUUAUUAUAUAUUUAGCUGAAAGCUAAGUCCAACAAACCAUUUUUAAAGAUGUGCCUGCCUUGGACAACAGUGAAAGCAAGCGUUAAUGAGUUUGGAUUUCAAAAAAAAAUGCAUAAUGAAUUUUAGGGAGGUGAGAUUCCAUUAAACUGUUACAGGAGCUACAUAGUUAAAUAUAUCAGAACUUGAAUGAAGAAUAGGUCUGUGUGAUACAAAUGAACCCAGCCUAAAUUUCUGUCCUACAAGUUUUCACUUCCUGGAAACACUUGAUUGGAGGAGCUCUAAGCAUCAUAUCUUGAGUUAUAGAAAACAAUCACAAAGUAAGUUUUAUCCUGAGGAAUUAUAAUACCAACAUUUU
Molecule: long non-coding RNA, 3119 nt
Filed under: Homo sapiens (human)
Lineage: Eukaryota; Metazoa; Chordata; Mammalia; Primates; Hominidae
Description: non-protein coding THUMPD3-AS1:16
Source: RNAcentral